UGGAGUUUGUCCGAACUGGCUAUGGGAAGGAUAUGGUAAAAGUUCUCCAUAUUCAGUGAGAUGGAAAAUAUCACAGCAUUAAAGAGGUGGCAACUUCAGUGCAACUUACUCUAAGUUCCAAAAAAGAUUACCUGCAUGGAGAUAAUUCAGACAUCAUCCCUACAGACACCAUCAAGAACACAGUUCAUGUCUUGGCAAAGUUUAAAGAAAAUGGAGUUAAGCAUGUCCAUGCAUUUAUUCACACUCCCACUGGAACACACUUCGGUGAAGUUGAACAGCUGAGAAGUGGACCCCAAGUCAUUCAUUCUGGAAUCAAAGACCUCAAGCUCUUGAAAACAACACAGUCUGGAUUUGAAGGUUUCAUCAAGGACCAGUUCACUACCCUCCCUGAGGUGAAGGACUGAUGCUUUGCCACCCAAGUGUACUGCAAGUGACGCUACCACCAGUGCAGGGAUGUGGACUUCAAGGCUACCUGGGACACCAUUCGGGACCUUGUCAUGGAGAAAUCUGCUGGGCCCUAUGACAAAGAUGAAUACUCGCCCUCUGUGCAGAAGACCCUCUGUGAUAUCCAGGUGCUCUCCCUGAGCCGAGUUCCUGCGAUAGAAGAUAUGGAAAUCAGCCUGCCAAACAUUCACUACUUCAACAUAGACAUGUCCAAAAUGGGUCUGAUCAACAAGGA
Molecule: small RNA, 679 nt
Filed under: Pan troglodytes (chimpanzee)
Lineage: Eukaryota; Metazoa; Chordata; Mammalia; Primates; Hominidae
Description: processed transcript
Source: RNAcentral